GGUCAACAGCACAUGAGGUACAGGAGGUCGGAGCUCUUCCUGUGCUGUGACUAAUUAUGACCCAGACUCAGAGUGUCUCCUCAGCUCCGGCCAGGAUAAACUCUAACCUCUGUGACAUCACGGCCAAAUCCCUCCACCGCACUGCAAAAACUACCUGCAAAGAGCCCAAAGCAAUUACUUGGAUUCCAACCUCCCCAGAUUCCAAUCUGCAGAAUGUGCCGAAACAAGCCUGAUCCAUGGAGCAUCCACCCAGCAACCUACAGGACCCAAAGGAUCUGCUGAAAGGAACAUUCCAGAGCCACAUAUCAAAGGACACCUCACCUCGAAGGGCCCUGUGUCAACACCACAAGGCCUCAGAGACGUUUUCAGAACCUGAAUCUGAUUUUGUUUCGCCAAGCAUGUUGCACAAACAAGGAAUUCUGUUCCAGCUGUUGGUGUGCACAAAGGUUAUGACAACAACGUGCAUAAGACAAUUUUCCAUAGACAAAAUAGCAUAUAUUAUAUAUAACAAGCACAUACAUUUUGCCUGGACAAUGGGAACAACAGGGACGUAUAUGGCAGUGAUUUAACUGCUGUGUCUUUUUGGUGUAGAUCUGGUGACAGAAGUGAAGCCUGGGAGAUAUUCAACCCACCUAAAAAGGUUGAUUUGUGGUCCACUACUCUCAGGUUUGAAAUGGGAUGUUCUUCUGUAAUAACCUGCCCACCACAAGAUGACGCAGGUAAUGAUUCACAUCUGAGAUGAGUUAUAUAAUAAAGGCUAAAAUGGCAAAACCUCCAC
Molecule: long non-coding RNA, 778 nt
Organism: Haplochromis burtoni (Burton's mouthbrooder)
Lineage: Eukaryota; Metazoa; Chordata; Actinopteri; Cichliformes; Cichlidae
Exons: 3
Source: RefSeq, a predicted model, not a curated record